AGAGUUUGAUCCUGGCUCAGGACGAACGCUGGCGGCGUGCCUAAUACAUGCAAGUCGAGCGAACAUUUGAGAGCUUGCUCUCAAAUGUUAGCGGCGGACGGGUGAGUAACACGUGGGCAACCUGCCUAUAAGACUGGGAUAACUUCGGGAAACCGGAGCUAAUACCGGAUAAUUCACAUCUACUCAUGUAGAUGUGCUGAAAGACGGUUUACGCUGUCACUUAUAGAUGGGCCCGCGGCGCAUUAGCUAGUUGGUGAGGUAAUGGCUCACCAAGGCAACGAUGCGUAGCCGACCUGAGAGGGUGAUCGGCCACACUGGGACUGAGACACGGCCCAGACUCCUACGGGAGGCAGCAGUAGGGAAUCUUCCGCAAUGGACGAAAGUCUGACGGAGCAACGCCGCGUGAGUGAUGAAGGUUUUCGGAUCGUAAAACUCUGUUGUUAGGGAGGAACAAGUACCAGAGUAACUGCUGGUACCUUGACGGUACCUAACCAGAAAGCCACGGCUAACUACGUGCCAGCAGCCGCGGUAAUAC
RNAcentral lists this ribosomal RNA (535 nucleotides) under uncultured Bacillus sp. Its description in RNAcentral is "bacterial SSU rRNA". It matches the Rfam family "Bacterial small subunit ribosomal RNA", at positions 8 to 526 of the family's 1533-position model. Lineage: Bacteria; Bacillati; Bacillota; Bacilli; Caryophanales; Bacillaceae. The record is from RNAcentral.